GCGAGAGUGGCGGAAUUGGCAGACGCGCCAGACUUAGGAUCUGGUGCCCUGCGGCGUGGGGGUUCGAGUCCCCCCUCUCGCACCA
Molecule: transfer RNA, 85 nt
Filed under: Firmicutes bacterium ZCTH02-B6
Lineage: Bacteria; Bacillati; Bacillota
Also listed under: 2 other names
Description: tRNA-Leu
Rfam family: tRNA
About the family: Transfer RNA (tRNA) molecules are approximately 80 nucleotides in length.
Source: RNAcentral